GCUGCGUGACGCUAGUUUCCGAUUUGUUGUGAUGGAUUGUGUCGCGACACGUGUUUGUUGUGGCGGGUUGAUCGAAGAAUGAGAUCUAUAAGAUUGAACCGCUGAAGAAAGAUCUGGAGUAUGCUGUCAAGAUUGGCAGGAAAUCAGCGCAAUGCGAGUGGGCACCUCCCCAUUCUGAGUGUGCUGAGUGGCUGGAAAUCCCAGCUGUGACUGCUGCGGGAGCAUGACUGCUGUCGGCUUGAACUGCACACCGUGGAUGCCUGGGCUAGAUUUGGAGCUAUGCCAGUAUUUGGCUGAGGCUUCGAAGUGUUGGGGCCUUGGAAGAUGUGACGCAGCCGUGUGAGGGACGGCCGGCCAUCCUUGAAAUCGACGAGAUCUUUCAGCUGGAUAUAGAAGACGCUAACAUACAUAAUUUGGAGCUAUGCCAGUAUUUGGCUGAGGCUUCGAAGUGUUGGGGCCUUGGAAGAUGUGACGCAGCCGUGUGAGGGACGGCCGGCCAUCCUUGAAAUCGACGAGAUCUUUCAGCUGGAUAUAGAAGACGCUAACAUACAUAGUAGGUGAAGGCACGAGAAAUACGCUUCUCCUAUGACAGAGGCGCCUUUUCCCUUUCUGUUUUUCAUUAGCGCUUUCACACGAAAGUGAAAUAGUUUUGUGCUAUUUGUUAAAAAUGGCCAAAAACUGAACGCAAGGUCAUGUAGGUCAUAGUAGUCUUCUAGCCCAGUGAGAGUGCGUGCGAGACUGAGGGCUGUUGCCAAAUCAUAAUCAAGACAGAGCGCGGAGCGACUGUCCGCGUCUAUCGAGUGCGUCUCUUGCAAAUGGGCUAAAGGUCUGUGCAUGUACAUGUGAAGCUGCUCUGCGGUCGGCGCGAUUGGUUAUAAAUAAAUUGACUUGCAUUCAA
Molecule: long non-coding RNA, 898 nt
Organism: Amphibalanus amphitrite
Lineage: Eukaryota; Metazoa; Arthropoda; Thecostraca; Balanomorpha; Balanidae
Exons: 4
Source: RefSeq, a predicted model, not a curated record